UACGUAGGGGGCAAGCGUUGUCCGGAUUCAUUGGGCGUAAAGAGCGUGUAGGCGGCCAGGUAGGUCGGUUGUGAAAACUGGAGGCUCAACCUUCAGAGGUCGACCGAAACCAUCUGGCUAGAGUCCGGGAGAGGAGAGUGGAAUUCCUGGUGUAGCGGUGAAAUGCGCAGAUAUCAGGAGGAACACCGGUGGCGAAGGCGGCUUUCUGGACAAAUACCGACGCUGAGGCACGAAAGCUAGGGGAGCAAACAGG
Molecule: ribosomal RNA, 253 nt
Filed under: uncultured bacterium
Lineage: Bacteria
Description: partial 16S ribosomal RNA
Rfam family: Bacterial small subunit ribosomal RNA
Source: RNAcentral